Molecule: long non-coding RNA, 594 nt
Filed under: Calidris pugnax (ruff)
Lineage: Eukaryota; Metazoa; Chordata; Aves; Charadriiformes; Scolopacidae
Description: lncRNA (ENSCPUG00000005308.1)
Source: RNAcentral
UCCUCCAAUUUUUCAAAAUGUAGAAUGUCCAUAUUUUCCCUCUUCUAUUGCAGAUGCAGGCUCAAGGGUCCUCCACCAUCAUACGAGUGUUCAUGGAUUUGAAGACUCUUUUUAGUGAAGAAGGCAAGGAUUAUUUUCCUUUGUGCUUACUGGUGGAAUAUAUCCAACCUUGAGUGAGAAAUAAAGUAUAUCUUCAUGUUCUGCAGAGAUUUUGGUCUCUUGAUUCAGGCAGUCUUGGCUGGUGAAACAGCUGUGAUCAGGGUCUGCAACAUUUGGGAGAAGCCUCAAUAAAGCAUAUGCUGGAUGCCUCGUGUCCUUAUCGAUGCGUGGGAGAACCCAUCCUCCCCUUCACGCACAUGGUCUGGCUGCGCAGGUUGGGCUGGCCACAUUGUGAAGUCUUCCAGGCAGCUGAGGAGCAAAGCGUUGGAGAUUGGAGACGACCUCCCGGUUUCCUGGAGCAGAGGACCAGAGGAGCUGCAAAAUGCUGGCACUGGCUACAAAAAUGCAGUUAUGUGCAGCACGUUCAGACACACAGAUGUACGACGGUGGAAGAGGUAUGAAGAUUGCUCCUGGCCUGUACCAGGAACAGUGUGA